Molecule: ribosomal RNA, 106 nt
Rfam family: 5.8S ribosomal RNA
About the family: 5.8S ribosomal RNA (5.8S rRNA) is a component of the large subunit of the eukaryotic ribosome. It is transcribed by RNA polymerase I as part of the 45S precursor that also contains 18S and 28S rRNA.
UUUAUGCGAUAAAUGGGUGUGAAUGGCAGAAUCCCGUGACCCAUCGAGUCUUUGACGCAGUUGCGCCCGAAGCCAUUAGGCUGAGGGCACGUCUGCCUGGGUGUCA